Long non-coding RNA from Hyla sarda, 345 nucleotides. RefSeq lists it as uncharacterized. The transcript has 3 exons. NCBI's taxonomy places the organism in Eukaryota, Metazoa, Chordata, Amphibia, Anura, Hylidae. The record is from RefSeq and is a predicted model, not a curated record.
GGGCAUGCUGGGAGUUGUAGUUUUGCAACAGCUGAAGGCACCCUGGUUGGGAAACAGUGCUCUAAGGGUAAUGUGCACGAUGCUUCAUCAAUAAAGUUGUGAAUGCAAAACACACUGAAGAGACUGCAGCCGGCGCGCACCUCCUUGUACAGCUCACGGUGACAUCAUCACAAGCAUGUGUGACAUCACAGGGUUCUAAACCAUCUUCAGAUCCGUGUAUCCUGUGGACUACUUCAGAUUCGGAGGACUACUUCGAUGACCAGCGUUUUUUUAUGUUUAAUAUUAAUAAAAUGGUUAACGAGGGCUUGUGGAGGAGUGUUUUCGGGAAUAAAAGUUUUUUAAACG